CUUACGGGAGGCUGCAGUGGGGGAUAUUGCACAAUGGGGGAAACCCUGAUGCAGCGACGCCGCGUGUGGGAAGACGGUCCUCUGGAUUGUAAACCACUGUCCCCAGGGACGAAGAUGACGGUACCUGGGGAGGAAGCUCCGGGAAAUUACGUGCCAGCAGCCGCGGUAAUACGUAGGGAGCGAGCGUUGUCCGGAAUUACUGGGUGUAAAGGGAGCGUGGGCGGGGAGUAAAGUUGGGUGUCAAAACUACCGGCUCAACUGGGGGUCGCACUCAAAACUGCAGCUCUAGAGUGAAGUAGAGGCAAGCGGAAUACCUAGUGUAGCGGUGAAAUGCGUAGAUAGUAGGAGGAACACCAGUGGCGAAGGCGGCCUGCUGGGCUUUUACUGACGCUGAGGCUCGAAAGUGUGGGGAGCAAACAGGAUUAGAUACCCGAGUAGUC
This 440-nucleotide ribosomal RNA is filed under the name uncultured bacterium. RNAcentral's name for it is "partial 16S ribosomal RNA". It matches the Rfam family "Bacterial small subunit ribosomal RNA", at positions 338 to 795 of the family's 1533-position model. The record is from RNAcentral.